RNAcentral lists this ribosomal RNA (1113 nucleotides) under Physcia sp. 1 KL-2008. Its description in RNAcentral is "SSU rRNA". It matches the Rfam family "Bacterial small subunit ribosomal RNA", at positions 126 to 1171 of the family's 1533-position model. The record is from RNAcentral. Lineage: Eukaryota; Fungi; Ascomycota; Lecanoromycetes; Caliciales; Physciaceae.
CCNCCCUGGAGUAAGGAGAAAGAUCCCUUAUAAAGUUGUGUUACAUAUAAUAGAAAACGUUUGUUAAUAUAAAGAAAAAAUAAUUUCCUUAUUGCCGCAAGGUAUAAGGCAAGGACUUGUUUGUUUUUGUCUAAACAAAUAUCUUUCUUUAAUAAACAUAUCUCAUUGCANGAUAACACUUAANAAUNAAGAANGNAAAGCUUUUGCUCUUGGAAGUUAAUAUCUCGGGUNNUAUUAGUUAAGGUAAAUNUUAACUAGCUUAAUACNCGUAGNCNUGACUGAGAGGUUGAUCGACCACAGUGGGACUGAAUAAAUCCCAUGACGACUGUCUCAGCACGUGAGGAAUAUUGGUCAAUAGCCUAACGGCUGAACCANCAACUUGGAGGAAUGUAUGGCGAAAGCUGGUUGCAUUUACUAAAAAGGUGCAAGAUUGAUUCUAUCGAAUAAAGUUCUAGAUAGGUUAUGAUGAUGACAUUUCCUGUCUAUGUGUCUUGACUAAAUUACGUGCCAGCAGUCGCGGUAAUACGUAGAAGACUAGUGUUAUUCAUCUUUAAUAGGUUUAAAGGGUACCUAGACGGUAAAUCAAGUCCAAAAAGGAUACUAAUUUGCUAGAGUUUAAUGUGAGGGGGCACUAAAGUACUGAUAAGUGUAGAGAUGAAAUUCUGUGAUACAAUAUAAGGACAGGUAAAGGCGAAAGCAUCUCAUUAUGUAAUAACUGACGUUGAGGGACGAAGGCUAGGAGAAGCAAAAAGGAUUAGAUACCCAAGUAGUCUUAGCAGAAAAUUAUGAAUGUCAUAGGAUGGAAAUAGUGGAUAACAAUUUUUUUUUCUAUAAAUGAAAGUGUAAGCAUUCCACCNCGAGAGUAAUUUGGCAACAUUGGAACUGAAAUCANUAGACCGUUUCUGAAACAAGUAGUGAAGUAUGUUGUUUAAUUUGAUGGUCCGCAAAAAACCUUACCACAAUUUGGAUAGAAAUUUUUAUUUUANACAAGCGCNGCACGGUUGUCUCCAGUUAAUGUCGUGAGAUCUUGGUUAGUUCCAUUAAAUUAACGUAAACCCUUACUUUAUUUAUAUAUAGAGUAGUUCACCGCUAGAUUGGAUGUGAUAACAGGGA